CGUGGGGAACCUGCCCCAUAGUCUGGGAUACCACUUGGAAACAGGUGCUAAUACCGGAUAAGAAAGCAGAUCGCAUGAUCAGCUUUUAAAAGGCGGCGUAAGCUGUCGCUAUGGGAUGGCCCCGCGGUGCAUUAGCUAGUUGGUAAGGUAAAGGCUUACCAAGGCGAUGAUGCAUAGCCGAGUUGAGAGACUGAUCGACCACAUUGGGACUGAGACACGGCCCAAACUCCUACGGGAGGCAGCAGUA
Molecule: ribosomal RNA, 247 nt
Filed under: uncultured Lactobacillus sp.
Lineage: Bacteria; Bacillati; Bacillota; Bacilli; Lactobacillales; Lactobacillaceae
Description: partial 16S ribosomal RNA
Rfam family: Bacterial small subunit ribosomal RNA
Source: RNAcentral